This 253-nucleotide ribosomal RNA is filed under the name uncultured bacterium. RNAcentral describes it as "partial 16S ribosomal RNA". It matches the Rfam family "Bacterial small subunit ribosomal RNA", at positions 524 to 776 of the family's 1533-position model. The record is from RNAcentral.
UACGUAGGGGGCAAGCGUUGUCCGGAAUCAUUGGGCGUAAAGAGCGUGUAGGCGGCCCGAUAAGUCCGCUGUGAAAGUCCAGGGCUCAACCCUGGGAUGCCGGUGGAUACUGUCGGGCUCGAGUCCGGAAGAGGAGUGUGGAAUUCCUGGUGUAGCGGUGAAAUGCGCAGAUAUCAGGAGGAACACCAAUGGCGAAGGCAGCACUCUGGGACGUGACUGACGCUGAGACGCGAAGGCGUGGGGAGCGAACGGG